Molecule: small nuclear RNA, 103 nt
Organism: Erinaceus europaeus (western European hedgehog)
Lineage: Eukaryota; Metazoa; Chordata; Mammalia; Eulipotyphla; Erinaceidae
Source: Ensembl
AUGCUCGAUUCAGGAGCACAUAUACUAAAGUUGGAACAAUACAGAGAAGAUUAGCAUGGCCCCUGAGCAAGGAUGACACACAGAUUCAGUGUUCCAUACUUAA